This is a non-coding RNA of Lonchura striata (white-rumped munia), 229 nucleotides long. The record is from RefSeq and is a predicted model, not a curated record. Lineage: Eukaryota; Metazoa; Chordata; Aves; Passeriformes; Estrildidae.
CAAUGAUGUCAUCCAUGUUCUCAACCAAAAAGGCCACCAGCAGCUUCACUUGCAUACAGCUCUCACAAGGGAAGGCUUCCCGUGCAUUGCUGCAAAAUUUCACUGCCAGCCAGCAAGAGUGAGCUGUGUGAAAAUUGCCUCUUCAGGACAGCAUCCUUUUCCAGAUACAAGCCAAGCAGGCAUUUGCUUAAAAAUAGGCGUCUAGCACUGAUUUUCCUGCCAACAAUUC